Molecule: transfer RNA, 72 nt
Filed under: Phrynosoma platyrhinos (Desert horned lizard)
Lineage: Eukaryota; Metazoa; Chordata; Lepidosauria; Squamata; Phrynosomatidae
Description: tRNA-OTHER
Source: RNAcentral
GUCAGCAUGGUGUAGUGCUUUGAGUGUUGGACUACAACUCUGGAGACCAGGGUUCAAAUCCCAGUUUGGCCA